UACAGAGGGGGCAAGCGUUAUUCGGAAUUAUUGGGCGUAAAGGGCGCGUAGGCGGCUUUGCAAGUGACGGGUGAAAUCCCCCGGCUUAACCUGGGAACUGCGUCUGAUACUGGAUGGCUCGAAUCCGGGAGAGGGAUGUGGAAUUCCAGGUGUAGCGGUGAAAUGCGUAGAUAUCUGGAGGAACACCGGUGGCGAAGGCGGCAUCCUGGACCGGUAUUGACGCUGAGGCGCGAAAGCCAGGGGAGCAAACGGG
This 253-nucleotide ribosomal RNA is filed under the name uncultured bacterium. Its description in RNAcentral is "partial 16S ribosomal RNA". It matches the Rfam family "Bacterial small subunit ribosomal RNA", at positions 524 to 776 of the family's 1533-position model. The record is from RNAcentral.